Non-coding RNA from Pelobates cultripes (western spadefoot toad), 204 nucleotides. The record is from the annotation of a GenBank genome assembly. Lineage: Eukaryota; Metazoa; Chordata; Amphibia; Anura; Pelobatidae.
CUUACCAACAGCUGUAUGAGGUGGUGGAGUUUUUGGUGCUUGUAUUCUGGAUGUGUGGCAGCUUUGACUCCCCUAACCAGAGUCUCUUCUUUCUGGUGAUAUGGUUGAUGUGCAGAAAAAGGUGCAGGGAGGCAGCGCCUGUGGUGUUGUUCUCAAAUCCAAGGUAAUAUGUGAAAUAAGCACAGAGAACGUAAUAUAGUGUAG